GAGGGUGUAGCGAAGCUGGUUAUCGCGACGGCCUGUCACGCCGUAGAUCGCGGGUUCGAGUCCCGUCACUCUCGC
RNAcentral lists this transfer RNA (75 nucleotides) under bioreactor metagenome. Its description in RNAcentral is "tRNA-Asp". It matches the Rfam family "tRNA". From Rfam's summary of the family: Transfer RNA (tRNA) molecules are approximately 80 nucleotides in length. Their secondary structure includes four short double-helical elements and three loops (D, anti-codon, and T loops). Further hydrogen bonds mediate the characteristic L-shaped molecular structure. tRNAs have two regions of fundamental functional importance: the anti-codon, which is responsible for specific mRNA codon recognition, and the 3' end, to which the tRNAs corresponding amino acid is attached (by aminoacyl-tRNA synthetases). tRNAs cope with the degeneracy of the genetic code in two manners: having more than one tRNA (with a specific anti-codon) for a particular amino acid; and 'wobble' base-pairing, i.e. permitting non-standard base-pairing at the 3rd anti-codon position. RNAcentral also lists the same sequence under 1 other name. The record is from RNAcentral.